CGUAGGGUGCGAGCGUUAAUCGGAAUUACUGGGCGUAAAGCGUGCGCAGGCGGUUUUGUAAGACAGGCGUGAAAUCCCCGGGCUCAACCUGGGAACUGCGCUUGUGACUGCAAGGCUAGAGUACGGCAGAGGGGGGUGGAAUUCCACGUGUAGCAGUGAAAUGCGUAGAGAUGUGGAGGAACACCAAUGGCGAAGGCAGCCCCCUGGGUCGAUACUGACGCUCAUGCACGAAAGCGUGGGUAGCAAACAAGAUUAGAUACCCUGGUAGUCCACGCCCUAAACGAUGUCAACUAGGUGUUGGGUGGGUAAAACCAUUUAGUACCGGAGCUAACGCGUGAAGUUGACCGCCUGGGGAGUACGGCCGCAAGGUUA
RNAcentral lists this ribosomal RNA (372 nucleotides) under uncultured organism. RNAcentral describes it as "bacterial SSU rRNA". It matches the Rfam family "Bacterial small subunit ribosomal RNA", at positions 526 to 896 of the family's 1533-position model. The record is from RNAcentral.